GUACGCAAUAAUCUCCACAAUUAACUCCUCUGCCAAUUGAUUUUCAUCGCCGAUUCCUAUUCAUAUUCUCCAUCACGAUCCCUUUUAAACUUCCAUCUUCCCCACCGAUAUUAGAAACACACCGCCCGCUAGCACAGCUGCCGUCCCCAGUCGUCCAUCCCACGAGAGCCACCCACCACCGCCCAGCCCCACCCCCCUCUCCGUCUGGACCCCAUAUGUCGACGCCAGCAACCUGCGCACCGUCGCCAGCCAACUGACCGCCGGCGCCGCCCUCGACCAAGCCGUUGCGCACGCCACCUGCCCCAACCCCACCGCGUGCCGCCGGUGGCAACCGUCCCGUGCCCUCGCCGAUAGCCACAAGCCCACAAGCAUCUGUAAUUGUGGAUCUACCUUCCCCAACACCGAUCUGUACCCCGUGAUUCGACUUCCCGCCGCCGGCUAGCCUGCUUCAGUGCCACCGGGCAAGCCCACGGAGCAGCGCUCGCCCAACGCCCUGACAGUGGCCAGCGACGCAUGUGUCCGUGGCCCCACCCAUCACAACCGACCAGACUACUUCUUCCUCCUUCAUCUGAAAACGAUGAUAUGGAGGAGCCCACGACGGUGUCCCGUUUCUUCUCUGGUCAAGCUCUUCUUUUAUUUUGAAUAAGGCUUUUGUCAAGUUCCUGUACUCUUCUUGCAUCGUGAGUGUGGCAUCGCCCAGUCUAUGAAAAUUUUCUCAACAUGGUAGUGGUACAAAGAUAAAUGGUGCGAUGCAAAGCAGCUGGUGGAUUCUGGGGGAUGCCAUCGUCGCACUAGGUUUCAGAAGCUGCCUCUUCACCAUCCCUGCAAUCUUUUGCCUAUUUGGUUAGUGUGUUUCUUAUCUUGAUUAUUGUAGCUAUUGGAAAUGUUGGAUCUUUUGAUAUUUGGUCCUCGAUCUGACAAGUAUUACCCUUUUGAUAAAUAACUUUGUAAAACUACAUCAUUCAGUUCAUUUCUUAGAUCAUCUCCAGUAGUAGUUAAUUUUAAGUCUAGAUUGAAGUUUUAAUAGUAAUCUAAGGACUGUACAUCUUGGUUAUUGUCUUAUUGAUUAUACAAUACAUAUCAGAGGAAACUACAAGUGCCUUAAACAACCUACUGAAAAUCUAUGAUUACAUAGAGGUGUAGCCGUGGUCUAAGAUCAGGGCCAGAGCCAGAUUUGGACCAUGCUCUAAGGCUCUGAGCUGGCUGUUUGGCUUUGUGAUGUUAAUCAACACAUUUUCUCUCUUAUGUCUAUACAUCUUUACUGGUCCUAUAAGUGAUUCUGCAGGGUUACCUUGAUAGAUAAUUUUCUCAGGAACACAAAUACGAGAGUACAUUUGUUCUGGGAUGGGGUGAAUUUAUUGGAGGAGACUACCAGUAAGUACUAUUUUUUCUUAAUCCCUGAUUAUUUCACUGAAAUUAGCCUCGCCGUGCAUUUGUGCGGUCGUGCAUCACUUUCAUUGGAGAUCUUGCAACUUUCACUCAUUGGCGAUCUUAAUGGAAUUGCUUUGAACCAAAAUGUUCAUAGUAAAGUCUAUUCUCCCAUUUAAAUUUCUUCGAGGAAUCAAGAAUGCCAAGUACAUCACAACUUCUAAUUGUUGCUCCGAAUGAAACAGAUAAAAUCAUCUGAGUAGGGAUUUCUAGACAAGGUACAACCUACAUGUAGAAGCUUCUCAAAGAAGUUAUCAUGCCAGUAUACAUAAAUAAAAUUUAGUUUUGCUUAUGUACAUUACUGCUUCCUUAGCAAUUAAAAGAACUAUAUCAAUGUACGAUAUUGAUGAUUGUUGGAGUUCUGGGAACGGGGGUCCCAAGACUUGCCUGCCUGCGGCCCAUGGCGAGGCUCUGUUAGAGGGCCCGUACAACCCAUCUUCACCAACAAGCACUCAAGACCAUUGCGAGGGGCCAAGCCUCGCGAGGCGGACGGCGCAAGACCCCUUCGGGAGCGGCCUCACCAGGUUGGCUCGCGAGGGGCGGAGAGAUCAAGGCAAGACAAACCUCGCGAGGUUCUCGUGAUGUGAGCCAUGACGACCGAGACCAGGCGGGCGCCAGCGCACACAGUAUCCUUGUUUCCUCUUUGGUGCUAAGGAGGCAAGCGCAAGCGCAGAGUACCGAGGCGUCAAGUAAAGGUUUCCAUAUCAGUGCAACAAGACCAAGACCGGCAAGACGGAGGUCACGAUGGAGCCCAAGGCGGCGUCACCACCAGAGCCUUUUGGAGGCGAAGACUGCUUUUGUCAGGAUAAGUUAUACUAGCUGUCCCCUUUCAAAUUGGCCGUUGUUGGCUCCCUUCCCGCUCAAUAUUUGGGGAGAGGACCAGGGCCUAUAUAAAUAGGACUAGCCACCACCGUAGGAGACAACUCAUUCGGAGCCAUCUCAUCUCAUCUUGAGUAAUCCUCACCCACACAAGUUCACCGAGCAUAAGAACACCUCGCCUCAGGAGGCUGUUCUUCCCCUUGUACUGUUUAUCCUCGGCCCAAGGGCAAUCCACCAGCACCACACUGGAGUAGGCUAUUACACCACAACGGUGGCCCAAACCAGUAUAAA
Molecule: non-coding RNA, 2538 nt
Organism: Aegilops tauschii subsp. strangulata
Lineage: Eukaryota; Viridiplantae; Streptophyta; Magnoliopsida; Poales; Poaceae
Source: RefSeq, a predicted model, not a curated record